UAUUAAUGCCCAUCACUAUUUUUGACAGU
This 29-nucleotide small RNA is filed under the name Bombyx mori (domestic silkworm). Its description in RNAcentral is "piRNA piR-bmo-2001954". The record is from RNAcentral. Lineage: Eukaryota; Metazoa; Arthropoda; Insecta; Lepidoptera; Bombycidae.